This 484-nucleotide ribosomal RNA is filed under the name uncultured bacterium. RNAcentral describes it as "partial 16S ribosomal RNA". It matches the Rfam family "Bacterial small subunit ribosomal RNA", at positions 30 to 507 of the family's 1533-position model. The record is from RNAcentral.
AUUGAACGCUGGCGGCAGGCCUAACACAUGCAAGUCGAGCGGAUGAAGGCAGCUUGUUCCUGGAUUCAGCGUCGGACGGGUGAGUAAUGCCUAUGAAUCUGCCUGGUAUUGGUGGAUAACGUCCGCAAACGGGCGCUAAUACCGCAUACGUCCUGAUGGAGCUAGAUGGUGGUCUUCGGACCGCACGCUAUCAGGUGAGCCUCGGCCGGAUUAGAUAGUUUGUUGGGUAAAGGCCUACCAAGGCGACGAUCCGUAGCUGGUCUGAGAGGAUGAUCGGUCACCCUGGAGCUGGAACACGGUCCUGACUCCUAAGGGAGGCACCAGUGUGCAAUAUUGGACAAUAGGCGAGAACCUGAUCCAACCAUGGCGCGUGUGAGAAGAAGGUCUUCGGAUCGUGAAGCACGUCAUGUUGGGAGGAAGGGCAGUAAGUUAAUACCUUGCUGUUUUGACGUUAACAAGAAAAUAAGCACCGGCUAACUACGUG